Molecule: RNA transcript, 8817 nt
Organism: Odobenus rosmarus divergens (Pacific walrus)
Lineage: Eukaryota; Metazoa; Chordata; Mammalia; Carnivora; Odobenidae
Gene: WDR87
Gene name: WD repeat-containing protein 87-like
Exons: 6
Source: RefSeq, a predicted model, not a curated record
AUGUCUUCCACCAGACUCAUUCCCCUGUGGAAGGAUUUUAAAUACUUGGUAAAUGACAUCAUACAUAAAAGCAAGCAAACAUCAGAAGACCCAAAGAAUGAAGUGGUUGUGCUGAGUGACCAGUCCCAGAUACUUUUUCCUCUAACUCUCUUGUAGGCUGUAGUAUGGAUGAAGAGCAAAACUGAGGACAUGGUCGAGAAAAGAACAUUCUCCAUGACUGAAAAACUGCCGCCCAUCCAGUCCAUGGUCCACACAGGUUCCUUUCAUAUCCUCGUGGCCUACUGUGGUGACCUGAUCCUGCGGCUCUUUGGGGACCACUUCCGGUCAUUCAAACCCCUGGGUAUAGUGCCCUGCCGCUUUAACAUCAACUGCCUCUGCUAUGACCCGGAAAUGAAAAUGCUUCUGUCAGGCAUCCUGGGGGCAGUGGUCACCUGGAUCAUCGAGCGGAGCGGCAAGGGCCUCCAAGUAGCCCACAUGGUCCCCAUGCCUGGAGAGGAGCUUGUCCAGGACAUCAGGCUGAACGGCCCCAAUGGCUCCCUCCUCGCGCUAUGUGAGACGGUGGUGAGGGUCCUUGAGCGCCAGGGCCAUGGCCAGCUAGGAGAGGUUCAGAGGUUCACAUCCACCACCAGCGGCUCCUCUAUCACCUGCUGCUUCACCUGUUUCGACCAGGGCUUUCUCUAUGCCGGAAAUAAGACUGGGGAAAUCCAAGUAUGGAGCCUUGUCCGGGGAAACUCUCUCCACAGUUUCAAGGCCCAUUUCUCAUCAGUGACCUGUAUCCGCAGCCGGCCAGAAGCCCACACCCUGCUAACGGCUGGCAAGGAAGGCCUGAUCAAGGAGUGGAACCUGACUUUGGGGAACCUGCUGCGGCGACUAGAACUUGGUGAGGAACUGUAUGAACUCGAGUUUAUCGACAACACUACUUUCUUCUGCCAAACUAUGCAUACUUUCUCCUUGCGCCGUCUGCCUUGCUUCUACAGCCUCUUCAGUGUCUGCGGCUCUGCUCCCCAGCAGCUGCGUCGGGUCCGCUGCGGUGAUAACUGGUUCCGGAUCCUGUGCACUACGGAGGAUGGCUUACUGCGCUUUGUGUCCCCACUCACAGGGGAUCUUCUCGUCCUCACCUGGCCCUUCACGAUCCUAGACCGGGCUGUGGACUGGGCCUAUGACCCAGAAAAAGAGGAGCUCUUUGUAGCGACGGGCAAUGCAGAGGUGCUGGUGUUUGACACGACCCGCUGCCCUUGCCCAGCCAAGUAUCUCUUGUGCACUUCACCAAAUUCUCAAGACUGGGUACAAUGCCUGGCUUAUGGGCAUUUCCACCUGGGCCGGGGUCUACAAGGACUCAUGUUCUCCGGACACCAGAGUGGUGUGAUAAGAGUACUUUCCCAGAACUACUGUGCCCGGAUAGAGAAGUUCAUGCACUUUGGGGCUAUCUUGGCACUCUCUACACUACCUGGAGGGCUUUUUGGUAGCCGAGAAAACUCUUUGCUCUGCUCCUAUGGAAUGGAUGACUAUGUACACCUAUCAGAAGCUGUGCUCGAGGGGAGGAAAGUACAUUUGAAGCCCCUCGCCAGCAUUCUCAGCAGCUGUCACCUAAGACACCUGAUACUCUUACCCAUGUCUGUGGGAGCUAUCACGGAGACUAACUGUCUGCGUCUCUGGAAGUUCCACGAUUUUCUGUCCUCUGAGUCACAAGAAGACUCAGUGUUUAUAGAGACAUUGCCUCUGCACCAGUGCACCAUCACAUCCUUUGAUGUCUGCCUGUCCUUGAGUCUUUUUGUCACAGGUGGUAUCGAUGGGUCGGUCCGGGUCUGGAACUUCCAUGGCAGACUUAUAGCCAUGCUGGACUCAUCGCUGCACUUUGGCCCACUCUGCUUUGCAAAUGACCGGGGUGACUUGCUUGUGUCUUUUAACCAGAGUCUUUAUCUGGUGUCCUGUCUAAAACUGCUUCACCCAACCCUGCUGGCUCGCCUUUCCUUUAUGAGCAUGACAGAUGAAGUGCUAGAGUCCCCUAAGCCUUUCACACCAAGCUUCUUCUUCUCCUUUGAGACCAUGUUUGUGCCCAAGUAUAUCUACCUUGGAAAAGGGCAACAGGAAUUAGUCAGUCUAGAGAAACUUGUCAAUAAGCGGGCCAUUGCCUUUGAUCAUACAGUGCCACACGUCAUAGAGGAAGAUAAGCAAGGGAGUCCCAUGGUACUGCCUGCCUUCAGACACGGUUUCUUGUAUAAAGAAGAAACUGAUGGGAUGGAGGUGGGCAAACCUCCCCAUUAUGUGAUUCCUCCCCAACUACAGUUGACUGCCUGGGAUGGACUCAACCCCUACCAAAUAUUGCGAUGCUACUUUGGUCAUGGGCGUAAAUGGCUCUUGGCUCCUGACGGUUAUAUCCCCAACUCAGUGAUUCGUGCCCGUCUUUGGCCAGAGGGCAGUCCGAUAUACCUACAGUGCAACCUGCAUUCACCUGUGUGGGAAACAGAUUGGGACAAGUCCCAACAAUUCUUCUUCUGGCAUAGUAGGGUAACAUCUCUAAGUGAUGCAGGAGAAUAUUCACAGGAAAAGGAGGAUGAAGACUUCAUAGAAAUGAGAUUGUCCAAGGAUAUAACCUACAGUGUCCUUACAGACUCAGCAAAAUGUAGUUGGCUGGGGAAAAAGAUGAGUGAAAUAGCUAUUAAUAGCCUGGUGGAGACAAUCCUCAACAUUAUGAUCCAUGCUUCUCCACUGAAGUACCAAUGCUGUAUUGGUGCACUGGGGCAAAUCUUUGCCUCUUAUGAGGUGUCUUCAUCCCUGCGCUCUGAAACAGCCCAUCGUCUACUGGAUGAUACCACCAAUUCCAAACCGCUGAUCCGAGAGCUAGCCUGGGAAGGGCUGAAGCACCUAGGAAUGAUUACUCAUCUCUUUGCCAUGCCUCUGGCCCAAGGAUUGAUGGACAAGGACCAAAGAGUGAGGAGUAAGGCCCUGAACCUCAUGGCUGACACCGGAAUCCACUCUAAGUCCUCACUCUUAAACCUGAUCCAGCACCGAGAGACCUUCCAGGAGAUGCAGCAGGAAAUGAUUGGGGAGGAAUCCCUAGACCAUCUGUUGGGGAUGCGGGCCACAGAUCUCCAAAUCCUUCAUACUCAAGUGGAGCAGCGAUUGAAUGAAAACCUGACCUUGUCAGAGGGACAAGAAAAGCCUGCUUUCUCUUUAGAGGUCUCAAGGAUUUCUGAACGUAUAUCCCUUUCCAAGCAACCUGACGUAAUUCCUAAAGAAUCUGAAGCUACCGUCAAGUCCGGCAAAGGCCAAAGACGGGGCCGAGCGGGGGGCAAAAAGCACGUCCGAAAAUUGUGGCGGGCCCUCAAGAAGAUAAAAGAGGCUGGCAAACAGCCAGGUCCCUUAGAGGGUGAAAUUGACCAGAGGGAAGCUGCACCAGUUUUGGUGGAGGAUACAGCCGCCCAUUCUAGAAUGUCUUCAACCAUCAGUGUGUUAAAGAUUUCAAAAGAUGGUGAACAACAACCUCCAGAGAAAGACACCUCAAAGGACAAUUUUGCAUUGAACCUGAAGAUGCUGAGGAAAAUACAUGACAGAAAAAGCAAGAAAAGAACAGUUCAGAAACCCAAAAAGAGGCACAAGAAGACAAAAGAAGCUGAAGUUACAACUGAGGAAUCUCUGUCUGCUGUAAAGGAAGAACCAGUUGUGAAGCAGCUGAAAGCCAAAGGGCGGGGUGCCACUGGAGCGCCUGGCCGCAAGACCAUCCCUGAAGAUAGCUCAUCAUGGCGAGAUGAUCUAUGUCGUCUUAUGACCCUUAGAAUAUCUGGUUCCCAAACAAAAAUGUCAGAAGCUCUAAACAUGGAGCUAGUGGCCACGGCUCAGGAGGUGCUGGCAGAUCAACAGCCCAGUUGGGAACUUUUUCAGGAGAUCUGCCCCUUGUUGGAGAAAAAAAGUGAGGUUCUGCUUGAGGACCUCAACUGGGAUAUAGCCUGGCCAGAGGAGAAACCAAUUUUUAUUCAUGAAGGGGCAAUUAGAGAUGACAUAAUGACCAUCAGAAGGGAGGACGAGAUACCAGAGGAGCAAGAGCAGGUGCAAAAGGAAGCAGAGGAAAUGCCAUACUUGCAGGAAACCCAGGUGAUUCCCAAAAAAGGCAAGAAAAAGAAAGCUAUCUUUUUAGGACCCAGUGGCCUCACCAAGAGAAAACGAAUAUCGAAGAAAGAAGAGACGAAAUCCUUUACGAAGCCCUUUAAGCAAGAGAGGAAAGAAGUUCAGCAGGAAAUUAAAGUGGAUAAAAAAGAGACAGUGAGCAAAACAGAGAGGGAUGUGAGUCAGGCAGUAGAGGAAGUGGCCAAACCAGAGGAGGAAGUAGUUAAGCAAGAAGAAAGGCCAGUUAUGGAUGAGAGGAAGCUGUCUUGGCAGGAGAGGAAGAAGUCCUGGGAUGAGUGGAAACAGGCCCAGGGUGAGACGAAGAUAGCCUGGGAUGAAUGGAAGAAAGCUUGGGACAAGAAGCAUCUUGAGGAAGAGGAGAAACAACAAACAGAUGAAAGGAAGCCACUCCCAGAGGAGGAAAAGCUGGAUGUGGACAAGAAGAAGCUGAGAUGGGAUGAGUGGUUAGAGUUCUGGGAACAGACAGUGGCCAGGUCCGGAGAGGAACACAAGGAUGAUGAGGAAUUGACCCUGAAGGGAGAAGAAUUGCCUCAGGAAUGGGGAGAAGAAGAACAAGAAGAGCUAAUGUCAAAAGAGCAGAGACAGAUCCAAAAAGAAUAUAAUCAGGCCUGGAUGGAGAGGAAACGAGCCCAGGCUGAAAGGAAACGAGCCCAAGAAGAAAGGAAGCUGGCCCAAGAGGAGGAGAAGCUAGUACAGGAAGAGAGAAAACUGGCCCAGGAAGAGAGAAAACUGGCCAGGGAAUAUGGGAAACUGGCUCAGAGAGACAGGACAAUGGUCCAGUCAGAGAGGAAGUUUGUCCACAAUGAGGAAAAAUUGGCCAAAAGAGAGGAGAAGUUAAGCCAAGAAGCAGAGAAAUUGGCCCAGAAAAGGAAGAAACUGGCCAAGCAGUUUGAGGAACUGGCUCGAGAAGAAGAGAAAAUAGCAAAGAAAGGAGGGAAGCUGGCUGAGGUAAAAAAGAUACUGGCCCAGAAAAUGGAAAAACUGACCCAGAAGGAGCAAGAGCUGGCAUUGCAAGAAAAGGAAUUAGCCCGGGAAUUGGAGGAGCUGAUGUGGGAAGAGGAGGAACUGGCUCGGAAAGAAGAGGAACUGAUUCAGGAAUUGAAGGAUCUGGCUGAGGAAGAGGAGGGACUGGCUCAGGAAGACAAGACACUGGCCUGGCAAGAGCAGAAAUUGAUUAAAGAAGAGAAAACACUGGCCCUGGAAGAAGAACUGCUGAUCCAGGAAGAGAAGAAACUGGCCCACGACAAGGAGAAACUGCCCGAGGAAGAGGAAAAGCUUGCCCAGAGAAGGAAGAAACUGAUGGAGAACAAGUUAAAACUGGCCCAGGAAAAAGAAAAAUUGGCCCAGGACAAAGAGAAACUCACAAAGAACAAGACGAUACUAGAUUGGAGGGAGAAGUCUCUGGCUCAGGAGAGGGAGAAUCUGCUUCAGGAGAAAGUGAAAUUGGCUCAGAGGAAAGAGAACUUCCUCCAGGUCAAAGAAAACCUUGCACAGAACAAAAAUAAAUUAGACCAAGCAAAGGAGAAACUGGAUGUGUACAAGAAGAAACUUGCUCAGGUAGAGAAGAAGUUGAUGGAAGAAAAGGAAAAACUUUCCCAGAAGAAGGAGAAGCUGGACGAGGCAGAGAAAAAGCUGACCCAAUUAGAGGAAAGUCUGGCUCAGAAGCAGCACAAUCUAGCCCAGGACAAGAUGGAAUUAGCUAUGGAGAAGAGGGCGGUAUUUCAAGAACUGAAAAUGCUCAGAGGAGAGUGGGAUGGUGCCAAGGAAGAAAAGGCACUGGGCACGGAAAUGAAGAAACUGGCCCAGGAGAAGGUCAGGCUGUCUGAGGAAAAGCAAAUUCUCUCUGCAGGAGAGACUGAAGAAACCUUAAAACAGAUAAGACUGACUAAGAAUGAACUAGAACUAAUCAAGAGGAAAUUGUCACUAGAGGAGAAGAUACUGAGGUAUGAAGAUAGGAUACUGGCCACAGAGCAAAGGGACAUUGCCAAAAGAAAACUGGAAUUUACCAGAGGAAGGAGAGUGUAUGCGCAGGAAGAGAGGAAGCUAGCCAAAGUAGUAAGGAAGUUGAUUAAAGAAAAGGAGGGCACUUCCAAGGCAUCAAAAGUGAGUAGCAAAGUCUUAAAGGCACUUCGAGAGCUUACCAAAGAAGAAAUGAAACUGACCCAGGAAGAAAUAGAGAUGACAAAGAUGAAGAGGAACUUCUUUGUUAAGGAAAGGAAAUUGAGCAAGGAAAAAAAUAAACUUGAUGCCAAAGAGUGGGAUUUUUCUGAGGAACAACCAGAAGUAACCAAAGAUGAGAAGAAACUGGCUAAGAAGCAGAGAAAACUGGCCAAGGAAAUGAAAAGAAUGAUAAAGAAAGAGAAAAAAAUAACUGAGGAAGAAAGCAGAUUGGCUAGACAACAGAGAGAAGUCAUACAGGAAGAAGAAGAGGAAGGACUAACAAAGGAUGAAGAGGUAAUACCACUGCUUAAACAAAGGUCGAGAAAGAGAAAAGAGCUAAAGACAGUUGAUACACCACAGGAAAAGCUUCCCAGUCGAGAGGAAAGUAGAGAGAGCCUUUCUGAAGAAAUGGAAGGCUUAUUAGACCAAGUAGAACAAGAGAGUUUGUCUGAGGAGGAGGAGGAGGAAGAGGAGGAGGAAGAAGAAGAAGAGGAGGAGGAGGAAGAGGAAGAAGGGAAGGUGGUGGAGGAGGUAGAGGUGGAAGAGAAGAGAAAGAAGGAGAAAGAGAAGGAGAAGGAAGAGAAAGAGAAGAAGGAGAAGAAGAAGAAGAAGGUGCAGGAGGAGGAGGAGAAAGAGGAGGAGGAAGAGAAGGAAAGCAUCAGUGAGGAAGAGUCAGAAAGUCUGAGUGAGGAAGAGUCAGAAAGUCUGAGUGAGGAAGAGUCAGAAAGUCUGAGUGAGAAAGAAAAGGGGAAAAGCUCACUGAAAAAAGAGGCAGACAAGAAAAAAGAGAUCUCUAAAAAAGAAAAAUUAUUUAAGUCACAAGCAGAAAGAGAAAAGGACCAAAGAAGAGAAAUAAUCCCUUCUAUUGGAAAAAGAAUCCCUGAUAUCAAAGACAGUGAUAUACAACUAAAAGUUCUGAAAGUCCCUUCCAAGAAAGUGAUCACAAUAGCUCUACGCAGGCAAGAGACGAUACCAGUGCCAGUGUCUACAAAACAAGUAUCCUGGGAAGAAAAGGCCAGAGCACUUGAGGCAUCCAGGAUACUUCCAGAGUCAAGGUUUAUGGACAGACAAGGAGAACCGUUGAAGAAAUAUAAGCCCAAACCUCUACAACUUUUGGAUACAGUUUUGGAGUCCCCAGAGCAAGACUUAAAGACUCCAUAUUUACCUCACAUAUUGAGGAAGACCAUGGAAGCUCACAAACUCCAAGGUGAACCACUAGAGCCCAAGUGGCAGUGGAUUUUGCAGCAUCAUCCAACUCUGAUGAGAAAGACUGAGGUACCUGUGCCCCAAAUCUGGACCAAGGAAAUAGGUGCUCAGGUAGGACUCUCAGAUAUAGAGUGGAUCCGCCAUGUCCUAGAACAGAUGGAGGCAGGAGAACAGCUUACUAGGGAUAGUUUCCACAGAUUGUGCCAGCUUCUUAAAGACCUCACCUCAAAGGGAAACUUAGAGUGGCUACAUUUGGCCCAACUUGAAGCCAUUGUGUACCGUCACAAGCAGGUCCUGGAAUCACGAAGCGCACAUAUCUCAAAACCCAGUAAGGAGCCCAUGGGUCCAAAGUACCUGAAAGUGAUCCCGCCUAUAAAAGGAAAGGAAAGCUGGUUAAAACCUUUCACUGUCCCCACACUAAAGUCCCCAUUAGGUACCAAAGGGAUUCCAACCCCAAAGGGUAUAAAUUGGCACCUUCUAGAAGAGCCUUACAGGAGUGCAUGGGCAGAGCAGAUAUCCACUGCUCUCAAGGAGAUGGAGGUGCAACACUUUCAUCCUGCCACAGGAGAUAGCUUCACAGGUGCCCAGGCCUCUGUGGACAAACAAACCCUUGCACUGAUGUUUCAAAAGGACUUCUGGGCUUUUAAGGACAAAGGCAGGUCUCCCAGAUUGCCCAAGCUGGAGAAGAAGGCACAGGCCGUCUCUAAGAAAAAGGAAGAGGUGCCUCUCUGGGAGACAUUUGUGGCACUGUACCAUGUCUUGCGGAUGUUGCAGCAACGAUAUGCAAAAGACAGCACUGCUUGGAUGGAACAGUUCUACCAGCUCAUGGACCUAUACCAACUUAAGUCACCCCGAAUCCAGAAGCUUCUACAGGAGCUGUUACUGAGAGAUGAACGCCAAUCCCAAGAGAUCACCUAUGAGGAGGCCCUAAAGGCCAUGGAGCUGGUUCCAGGGGAGCGCUUGUUCUACCACCUGUUUUGUGGUGGCUCUCAAAACCCUAAAGGUCCUCUGGAGUUCCAGGAGGUGGUGUCCCUCCCAGGUCAGAAUAAUGUCCGUACCAUGAAUCCUAUGGGCAUUACUCAGUAUGGGAUCUUAGAACUCGCCUGGAGGAGCCUGCCCCAAGCCGAUACUCACCACACCAAGGAAAUGCCCCACAUCAUUGCAUCCACCCCCUAAUUUGGGACUGACUGGAGGUCAGGACUUUUCAUUCCCACCUGGAGGAAGGCCUUGUCACCCUAAUCUAGACCCUUAUCCCUAGGGCCCACACAGAGGUAGGGCCAGGCCAAAGCCCUUUCCCUACCUAGCUCCAGAAACCAGCUUCCAUAU